This 521-nucleotide ribosomal RNA is filed under the name uncultured Glomus. RNAcentral's name for it is "SSU rRNA". It matches the Rfam family "Eukaryotic small subunit ribosomal RNA", at positions 569 to 1092 of the family's 1831-position model. Lineage: Eukaryota; Fungi; Glomeromycota; Glomeromycetes; Glomerales; Glomeraceae. The record is from RNAcentral. RNAcentral also lists the same sequence under 1 other name.
AGCAGCCGCGGUAAUUCCAGCUCCAAUAGCGUAUAUUAAAGUUGCUGCAGUUAAAAAGCUCGUAGUUGAAUUUCGGGACUAAUAUGUUGGUCGUGCCUCGGUACGUACUGAUAUUUUUGGUUUCUCCCUUCUGACGAACCUUGAUGUCAUUAAUUUGGUGUCUUGGGAAAUCAGGACUGUUACUUUGAAAAAAUUAGAGUGUUUAAAGCAGGCUCACGCUUGAAUACAUUAGCAUGGAAUAAUGAAAUAGGACGUUUGAUUCUAUUUUGUUGGUUUCUAGGAUCGACGUAAUGAUUAAUAGGGAUAGUUGGGGGCAUUAGUAUUCAAUUGUCAGAGGUGAAAUUCUUGGAUUUAUUGAAGACUAACUACUGCGAAAGCAUUUGCCAAGGAUGUUUUCAUUAAUCAAGAACGAAAGUUAGGGGAUCGAAGACGAUCAGAUACCGUCGUAGUCUUAACCAUAAACUAUGCCGACUAGGGAUCGGAUGAUGUUAAUUUUUUAAUGACUCAUUCGGCGCCUUACG